Plasmopara halstedii is the source of this 46-nucleotide non-coding RNA. Lineage: Eukaryota; Oomycota; Peronosporomycetes; Peronosporales; Peronosporaceae. The record is from Rfam.
CAACUGGUGUUUUUUAACACCACCCUUGUUAAAAGAAGUAUUAUUU